AUAGCGUAUAUUAAAGUUGUUGCAGUUAAAAAGCUCGUAGUUGAACCUUGGGCCUGGCUGGCUGGUCCGCCUCACCGCGUGCACUGGUCCGGCCGGGCCUUUCCUUCUGGCUAGCCGCAUGCCCUUAACUGGGUGUGUUGGGGAACCAGGACUUUUACUUUGAAAAAAUUAGAGUGUUCAAAGCAGGCCUAUGCUCGAAUACAUUAGCAUGGAAUAAUGGAAUAGGACGUGUGGUUCUAUUUUGUUGGUUUCUAGGACCACCGUAAUGAUUAAUAGGGAUAGUUGGGGGCAUUAGUAUUCAAUUGUCAGAGGUGAAAUUCUUGGAUUUAUUGAAGACUAACUACUG
This 346-nucleotide ribosomal RNA is filed under the name uncultured eukaryote. RNAcentral's name for it is "SSU rRNA". It matches the Rfam family "Eukaryotic small subunit ribosomal RNA", at positions 594 to 945 of the family's 1831-position model. The record is from RNAcentral.